AGUCGAAACACCCCCUUCGUGGGGUGUCUGCGGGAGUUGGCCUACCCGUACUGAGGUGACAGGCCAAG
Molecule: non-coding RNA, 68 nt
Filed under: Streptomyces harbinensis
Lineage: Bacteria; Bacillati; Actinomycetota; Actinomycetes; Kitasatosporales; Streptomycetaceae
Source: RNAcentral